CAGCGGAGGGGAUCAUUACCAGAGUGCCCUAGGCUCUCCAACCCAUUGUGAACUUACCAAACGUUCCCUCGGCGGGCUCAGCGCGCGGCGGCCUCCGGGCCUCCGGGCGUCCGCCGGGGAAAACCAAACCCUGAUUUAAUCGUAUUUCUCUGAGGGGCGAAAGCCCGAAAACAAAAUGAAUCAAAACUUUCAACAACGGAUCUCUUGGCUCUGGCAUCGAUGAAGAACGCAGCGAAAUGCGAUAAGUAAUGUGAAUUGCAGAAUUCAGUGAAUCAUCGAAUCUUUGAACGCACAUUGCGCCCGCCGGCACUCCGGCGGGCAUGCCUGUCCGAGCGUCAUUUCAACCCUCAGGCCCACCCUUCCGGGGGAGCGGGCCUGGUGCUGGGGAUCGGCGGCCCUCGCGGCCCCCGUCCCUCAAAUUCAGUGGCGGUCGCGCCGCAGCCUCCCCUGCGUAGUAGCACAACCUCGCACCGGAGAGCGGAACGACCACGCCGUGAAACCCCCAAUUUUUCAAGGUUGACCUCGGAUCAGGUAGGAAUACCCGCUGAACUUAAGCAUAUCAAUAAGCGGAGGAA
RNAcentral lists this ribosomal RNA (575 nucleotides) under Acremonium sp. C2-6. RNAcentral's name for it is "eukaryotic LSU rRNA". The stretch from base 185 to 338 matches the Rfam family "5.8S ribosomal RNA". Lineage: Eukaryota; Fungi; Ascomycota; Sordariomycetes; Hypocreales; Bionectriaceae. The record is from RNAcentral.